CAGUCGCCGCGGUAAUACGUAGGUGGCAAGCGUUGUCCGGAAUUAUUGGGCGUAAAGGGCUCGCAGGCGGUUUCUUAAGUCUGAUGUGAAAGCCCCCGGCUCAACCGGGGAGGGUCAUCGGAAACUGGGAAACUUGAGUGCAGAAGAGGAGAGUGGAAUUCCACGUGUAGCGGUGAAAUGCGUAGAGAUGUGGAGGAACACCAGUGGCGAAGGCGACUCUCUGGUCUGUAACUGACGCUGAGGAGCGAAAGCGUGGGGAGCGAACAGGAUUAGAUACCCGAGUAGUCCCUGUCUCUUAUAC
RNAcentral lists this ribosomal RNA (301 nucleotides) under uncultured bacterium. Its description in RNAcentral is "partial 16S ribosomal RNA". It matches the Rfam family "Bacterial small subunit ribosomal RNA", at positions 509 to 807 of the family's 1533-position model. The record is from RNAcentral.